Molecule: ribosomal RNA, 253 nt
Filed under: uncultured bacterium
Lineage: Bacteria
Description: partial 16S ribosomal RNA
Rfam family: Bacterial small subunit ribosomal RNA
Source: RNAcentral
UACAGAGGUCUCAAGCGUUGUUCGGAUUCAUUGGGCGUAAAGGGUGUGUAGGUGGCGCGCUAAGUCGGGUGUGAAAUUUCGGAGCUUAACUCCGAAACUGCAUUUGAUACUGGCGUGCUUGAGGACUGGAGAGGAGACUGGAAUUCAUGGUGUAGCAGUGAAAUGCGUAGAUAUCAGGAGGAACACCGGUGGCGAAGGCGGCUCUCUGGACGGAUACUGACGCUGAGGCGCGAAAGCGUGGGGAUCAAACAGG